Molecule: long non-coding RNA, 1670 nt
Organism: Psammomys obesus (fat sand rat)
Lineage: Eukaryota; Metazoa; Chordata; Mammalia; Rodentia; Muridae
Exons: 2
Source: RefSeq, a predicted model, not a curated record
AAUUCCGCAGCAAGCCUGGAAGAGAUUCCUCCUUUGUCAAGUAUCUCUUACUCCCUGCUCCACCCCAACACUGGGUAGGAGAGAAAAGGAGGUGGUAGGGAGGGGUCAGAGUUCUAUUUAGCUACUUCCUGCUGGCUAAGGUUCCUGUGCAAAGUCCAGUCUUCAUUUCAGGAGCUCUCCAACUUCUCCUCACACUGCAUCAACAGCAACAGGAGCAGCAGAAGGAAGCACCCCAGCAUUCUUCUUUCUCGGAGCUCCCUUCCUCUCUGAGCUCUCCAGAGUCCUCAGAGUUAAACUAUGUGCAGUUGGCAAAGAGCCCCUCCCAGAGGCCUCAUGAGGCAAAUAGUCUGCUGCUGUGGACCAUCUGAAUCCGUCCCACAUCCCACACCUGGGACCAGAACAAAACCAUCUUUACAUCACAACAACGAUGCAAACCCACCAAAGGGCCAGCUACAUGUCUGCAUGUUUGCAUCUAUCUCUUACAGUUACAAGCACGUCUUUAUGUGUCUCUUCAAAGACCCGGGCCCUAUGUCAGGCACAGUGCUGGACCUGGACCUGAAGACUCAGCUGUGCCCCAUGAAGACAGGACCACGUGAUCUUCCUUUGUGAUUUUUUGGUAUCUAACUUAUGUGUAGCCUGGCCUGGCACAUAGCUGUCACCAACAGAUGAGCACUGGAUGAGAAGCUCUCCCUUGCCAAGAUGAUGUAAGUUUUAUUCUCCAGUUCCAUUCCAUUGUCUCCUGUUCUCAGAAGUGAGCCUUCUCCAAGCACGCCCUCAGAAUACGUCAUCCCGACCUGUCACAGAUGAAGCCCCUGCGGGGCUGAGCAAGCACCGGGUGGGGGAGGCGGCUGCAGAGCUGCUUUCUCUAGCUGGCUCGUGACAGCCGGAACGUCAGACAGCGGCGGAGGUCUGUCUACUGCAGCAAUUGCUCGUCUUUGAGCCUCCUGUUUUCUUCUCCUAAAACCCUGUCAUGGUCACUUUUGAACUAAAUAAUGACUGUGAUUCAGUCAAAAAACAAACUCGGGCACCCACUGGUUGCUGCUUUCACGGACCUUCGUGUUAGGAAAGAAAACACGACAAAGAAGGACAGAUGUCAUAAACAUGCCGAGAAGUGCUGUCAUCCCACCACCAGUUUUUAAGGCUGUGUGUCUUUCCCGGAGGUGGGAUGUGACAAGCUGGUUCUAUGGAGGAGGAGUUUCCAUUGCAAACUAGAUGCCGCAUCAUUCUUUAUAAAGCCUUGAUUUCAAUGGCUGGGCUGACAGAGCAAAGAAGGACAAAUACUGUAACUGUCCUGAUAAUGAUAAAAAUGUUUACCGUGUUGGCUAAUUUUCUGUCCACUUGACACGGGUUAGAGUCACUUGAGAGGGAGGAACCCCAGUUGAGAAAUUACUCCAUAAGAUUGGGCUGUAGGCAGGCCUGGAGGGCAUUUUCUUGAUUGAUGGGGGAGGGCCCAGCCCACUGUGGGUGGGGCCAUCCCUGGGCUGGUGGUCCUGGGUUCUGUAAGAAAGCAGGCUGAAGGAAGCCAUGGGAGCAAGCCAGUAAGAGCACCUUCCAUGGCCUCUGCAUCAGCUCCUGCCUGUGAGUUCCUGCCCUGUUUGAGUUCCUGUCCUCACUGCCUUUGAUGAGCUAUUAUGUGGAAUCGUGAGCGAAAUAAACUCUUUCCUUCUCAA